RNAcentral lists this ribosomal RNA (253 nucleotides) under uncultured bacterium. RNAcentral describes it as "partial 16S ribosomal RNA". It matches the Rfam family "Bacterial small subunit ribosomal RNA", at positions 524 to 776 of the family's 1533-position model. The record is from RNAcentral.
UACAGAGGGUGCAAGCGUUGUUCGGAAUUAUUUGGCGUAAAGCGCGUGUAGGCGGCUUAGCAAGUCGGGCGUGAAAGCCCUCGGCUCAACCGAGGAAGUGCACCCGAAACUGCUGAGCUUGAGUGCCGGAGAGGAUGGCGGAAUUCCCCAAGUAGAGGUGAAAUUCGUAGAUAUGGGGAGGAACACCGGUGGCGAAGGCGGCCAUCUGGACGGUAACUGACGCUGAGACGCGAAAGCGUGGGGAGCAAACAGG